RNAcentral lists this signal recognition particle RNA (263 nucleotides) under Clostridium mediterraneense. RNAcentral's name for it is "Bacterial large signal recognition particle RNA". It matches the Rfam family "Bacterial large signal recognition particle RNA". From Rfam's summary of the family: The signal recognition particle (SRP) is a universally conserved ribonucleoprotein involved in the co-translational targeting of proteins to membranes. Archaeal SRP consists of a 7S RNA and homologues of the eukaryotic SRP19 and SRP54 proteins. In most bacteria, the SRP consists of a 4.5S RNA and the Ffh protein (a homologue of the eukaryotic SRP54 protein). The record is from RNAcentral. Lineage: Bacteria; Bacillati; Bacillota; Clostridia; Eubacteriales; Clostridiaceae.
UGUGCUAGAUGGGGAGUUAGCGGUGCCCUGUAACUUGCAAUCCGCUGUAGCAAGAUUGAAUUCCUCACCGAGGCCUUAACUUUGUAUAGUCAGUCUUAGGCAAGUGGUGUUGAGAGUCAGGUCCCACGCAAUGAAAACCUGUGAACCUGGUCAGGUCCGGAAGGAAGCAGCCAUAAGCAGUCAUUUUCAUGUGCCGUGGCCAAAUCUGGCUUGAGUCAACUACUUAAGAAACGUAUAUAAAUUAUUGUCAGAGUGAGGUGCAC